CGCGAAGAACCUUACCAAGGCUUGACAUAUACGGAAACAUCCAGAGAUGGGUGCCCCCUUUCGUGGUCGGUAUACAGGUGGUGCAUGGUUGUCGUCAGCUCGUGUCGUGAGAUGUUGGGUUAAGUCCCGCAACGAGCGCAACCCUCGUUCUAUGUUGCCAGCACGUGAUGGUGGGGACUCAUAGGAGACUGCCGGGGUCAACUCGGAGGAAGGUGGGGAUGACGUCAAAUCAUCAUGCCCCUUAUGUCUUGGGCUUCACGCAUGCUACAAUGGCCGGCACAAAGGGCUGCGAUACCGCGAGGUGGAGCGAAUCCCAAAAAACCGGUCUCAGUUCGGAUUGGGGUCUGCAACUCGACCCCAUGAAGUCGGAGUCGCUAGUAAUCGCAGAUCAGCAACGCUGCGGUGAAUACGUUCCCGGGCCUU
Molecule: ribosomal RNA, 423 nt
Filed under: uncultured Janibacter sp.
Lineage: Bacteria; Bacillati; Actinomycetota; Actinomycetes; Micrococcales; Intrasporangiaceae
Description: bacterial SSU rRNA
Rfam family: Bacterial small subunit ribosomal RNA
Source: RNAcentral